UCGCUUGUAUGCAUGAUGUAAAAUUUGGGAUCCAAGGUUUUUGAAAUCUACGAGGAUUUUGGGCGUGCAAGAGUUUACAACCAAUCAGGCAACAGCUUGAGAGAUUUCGCGGUUACCUGGUGAUUGGUGGAGGCAAGACGGUGGGAGCCGGGAUAGCUAACGGUGCCAUCACCCUCUUCGAGUUGGGCAGUCGAGAAUGUAUCGAGUGGCCAUGGCGGCAGCUUCAGGACGGAUCACCUGGAAGGUCAAGCGGGGUAGGUCAGCUCCAGUGUGAUGGGCAAGCGCCUAUAUAUGUUGAUACGACGGUAAUUGUGGACGUAAUUUUCGCUCGAAAUAAUGGUGGUUGAUGAUGGCAAUAUGGGUAGGGCUGGCCUGUUAAUUCUAGAACGAGGUAAGUGCUAUUUAGAGCGCUAACUGAUUGAUUGUUGAAACUGAACGAUGUUUGAGGGCGA
Lolium perenne is the source of this 452-nucleotide long non-coding RNA. RefSeq lists it as uncharacterized. The record is from RefSeq and is a predicted model, not a curated record. Lineage: Eukaryota; Viridiplantae; Streptophyta; Magnoliopsida; Poales; Poaceae.